ACGAAGGGUGCAAGCGUUACUCGGAAUUACUGGGCGUAAAGCGUGCGUAGGUGGUGGGUUAAGUCUGUCGUGAAAGCCCCGGGCUCAACCUGGGAAUGGCGAUGGAUACUGGCUCGCUAGAGUGCGGUAGAGGAGAGUGGAAUUCCCGGUGUAGCAGUGAAAUGCGUAGAUAUCAAGAGGAACACCAGUGGCGAAGGCGAGUCCCUGGACAACACCUGACACUGAGGCACGAAAGCUAGGGGAGCAAACAGGA
This 253-nucleotide ribosomal RNA is filed under the name uncultured prokaryote. RNAcentral describes it as "partial 16S ribosomal RNA". It matches the Rfam family "Bacterial small subunit ribosomal RNA", at positions 525 to 777 of the family's 1533-position model. The record is from RNAcentral.